This 468-nucleotide ribosomal RNA is filed under the name uncultured bacterium. RNAcentral describes it as "partial 16S ribosomal RNA". It matches the Rfam family "Bacterial small subunit ribosomal RNA", at positions 28 to 507 of the family's 1533-position model. The record is from RNAcentral.
GACGAACGCUGGCGGCGUGCUUAACACAUGCAAGUCGAACGGAAAGGCCCUGCUCUUGUGGGUCGCUCGAGUGGCGAACGGGUGAGUAACACGUGAGUAACCUGCCCCUGUCUUUGGGAUAACUUCAGGAAACAGGGGCUCAUACAGGAUAGGAGCUCCUGCUGCAUGGUGGGGGUUGGAAAGAUUCGGCGGUUGGGGAUGGACUCGCGGCUUAUCAGCUUGUUGGUGGGGUAGUGGCUUACCAAGGCUUUGACGGGUAGCCGGCCUGAGAGGGUGACCGGCCACAUUGGGACUGAGAUACGGCGCAGACGCCUACGGGAGGCAGCAGUGGGGAAUAUUGCACAAUGGGCGGAAGCCUGAUGCAGAAACGCCGCGUGCGGGAUGACGGCCUUCGGGUUGUAAACCGCUUUCGCCUGUGACGAAGCGUGAGUGACGGUAAUGGGUAAAGAAGCACCGGCUAACUACGUG